CCUACGGGGGGCAGCAGUGAGGAAUAUUGGUCAAUGGCCGGAAGGCUGAACCAGCCAUGCCGCGUGAAGGUCAGUGCCCUAUGGGCGUUAAACUUCUUUUGUGCGGGAGCAAUAAUGGUCACGUGUGGCCAGACGAGAGUACCGUACGAAUAAGCAUCGGCUAACUCCGUGCCAGCAGCCGCGGGAAUAAGGGGGAGGCAAGCGUUAUCCGGGUUUAUUUGGGUUAAAGGGUGCGUAGGCGGGGAGGUAAGUCAGCGGGGAAACGCCCCCGCUCAACGGGGUGAAGUGCCAUUGAUACUGCCUUGCUGGAAUGCGGAUGACGUGGGAGGAAUGUGUGGUGUAGCGGUGAAAUGCAUAGAUAUCACACAGAACACCGAUUGCGAAGGCAUCUCGCGAAUCCGAGAUUGACGCUGAUGCACGAAAGCGUGGGUAUCAAACAGGAUUAGAUACCCGGGUAGUC
RNAcentral lists this ribosomal RNA (460 nucleotides) under uncultured bacterium. RNAcentral's name for it is "partial 16S ribosomal RNA". It matches the Rfam family "Bacterial small subunit ribosomal RNA", at positions 338 to 795 of the family's 1533-position model. The record is from RNAcentral.